UACGAAGGGGGCUAGCGCUGCUCGGAAUUACUGGGCGUAAAGCGCACGUAGGCGGCUUUCUAAGUCGGGGGUGAAAUCCUGGAGCUCAACUCCAGAACUGCCUUCGAUACUGGAGAGCUCGAGUCCGGGAGAGGUGAGUGGAACUGCGAGUGUAGAGGUGAAAUUCGUAGAUAUUCGCAAGAACACCAGUGGCGAAGGCGGCUCACUGGCCCGGUACUGACGCUGAGGUGCGAAAGCGUGGGGAGCAAACAGG
RNAcentral lists this ribosomal RNA (253 nucleotides) under uncultured bacterium. RNAcentral's name for it is "partial 16S ribosomal RNA". It matches the Rfam family "Bacterial small subunit ribosomal RNA", at positions 524 to 776 of the family's 1533-position model. The record is from RNAcentral.